Molecule: ribosomal RNA, 872 nt
Filed under: Calonectria papillata
Lineage: Eukaryota; Fungi; Ascomycota; Sordariomycetes; Hypocreales; Nectriaceae
Also listed under: 1 other name
Description: eukaryotic LSU rRNA
Rfam family: Eukaryotic large subunit ribosomal RNA
Source: RNAcentral
AUUGCCCUAGUAACGGCGAGUGAAGCGGCAACAGCUCAAAUUUGAAAUCUGGCCCUCGGGUCCGAGUUGUAAUUUGUAGAGGAUGCUUUUGGUGAGGUACCUUCCGAGUUCCCUGGAACGGGACGCCAUAGAGGGUGAGAGCCCCGUCUGGUUGGAUACCGAGCCUCUGUAAAGCUCCUUCGACGAGUCGAGUAGUUUGGGAAUGCUGCUCUAAAUGGGAGGUAUAUGUCUUCUAAAGCUAAAUACCGGCCAGAGACCGAUAGCGCACAAGUAGAGUGAUCGAAAGAUGAAAAGCACUUUGAAAAGAGAGUUAAAAAGUACGUGAAAUUGUUGAAAGGGAAGCGCUUAUGACCAGACUUGGGCUUGGUUGAUCAUCCUGGGUUCUCCCUGGUGCACUCUUCCAGUUCAGGCCAGCAUCAGUUCGCUGCGGGGGAUAAAAGUUUUGGGAAUGUGGCUCCCUCGGGAGUGUUAUAGCCCAUUUCAUAAUACCCUGCUCCGGACUGAGGUUCGCGCAUCUGCAAGGAUGCUGGCGUAAUGGUCAUCAGCGACCCGUCUUGAAACACGGACCAAGGAGUCGUCUUCGUAUGCGAGUGUUCGGGUGUUAAACCCCUACGCGUAAUGAAAGUGAACGCAGGUGAGAGCUUCGGCGCAUCAUCGACCGAUCCUGAUGUUCUCGGAUGGAUUUGAGUAAGAGCAUACGGGGCCGGACCCGAAAGAAGGUGAACUAUGCCUGUAUAGGGUGAAGCCAGAGGAAACUCUGGUGGAGGCUCGCAGCGGUUCUGACGUGCAAAUCGAUCGUCAAAUAUGGGCAUGGGGGCGAAAGACUAAUCGAACCUUCUAGUAGCUGGUUUCCGCCGAAGUUUCCCUCAGGA